Molecule: ribosomal RNA, 495 nt
Filed under: uncultured Actinomycetes bacterium
Lineage: Bacteria; Bacillati; Actinomycetota; Actinomycetes
Description: bacterial SSU rRNA
Rfam family: Bacterial small subunit ribosomal RNA
Source: RNAcentral
UGGGGAAUCUUGCACAAUGGGCGAAAGCCUGAUGCAGCAACGCCGCGUGCGGGAAGAAGGCCCUAGGGUUGUAAACCGCUUUCAGUAGGGAAGAAAAUGACGGUACCUACAGAAGAAGGUGCGGCCAACUACGUGCCAGCAGCCGCGGUGACACGUAGGCACCAAGCGUUAUCCGGAUUUAUUGGGCGUAAAGAGCUCGUAGGCGGUUUGGUAAGUCGGGUGUGAAAACUCUGGGCUCAACCCAGAGAGGCCACCCGAUACUGCUAUGACUAGAGUACGGUAGGGGAGCGGGGGAAUUCAUGGUGUAGCGGUGAAAUGCGCAGAUAUCAUGAGGAACACCAGCGGCGAAGGCGCCGCUCUGGGCCGUAACUGACGCUGAGGAGCGAAAGCAUGGGUAGCAAACAGGAUUAGAUACCCUGGUAGUCCAUGCCGUAAACGUUGGGCACUAGGUGUGGGUCUCAACCAACGAGAUCCGCGCCGUCGCUAACGCAUUAA